Musa acuminata subsp. malaccensis (wild Malaysian banana) is the source of this 4710-nucleotide non-coding RNA. NCBI's taxonomy places the organism in Eukaryota, Viridiplantae, Streptophyta, Magnoliopsida, Zingiberales, Musaceae. The record is from RefSeq and is a predicted model, not a curated record.
GUUGACGAAAGAAAAAGCUGAGGUGGGGAAGGAGGAAGGCACGGGGCCGCCGUGGUCAUGGCGGGGACCAUCCUGGCCAUGGAGAAAUGUCCAAACUCGGGCGGCGACUCCAUUACAAGAAGCAGCGGAAUCGAAUUGGUGAUGGAACAGCGAUCAUUUUGUUUACCUCUUCGCAUCAGAAUGUUGGAAUCUUGAAGGACGGGGAAAAAAUAAAAGGAGGUCUUUUUGAGGCUGAAAUCUUCGCGAAGUGGGAUCAACCAAAUGAACGACGCAUAGCGCGGGGAGGUAGGUGGGAGAAAUGGGGAGCAUCGGCAGCGAGGAGCCGGCGCAGUGGGAGAAGGCGGAGGGCGGUGGCACUGUUGGGGAGGAGGAGAGGAUACUGGUCUCGGUGAGGCUGAGGCCGCUCAAUGCCAAGGAGUUGGAGCGCAAUGACACCUCGGAUUGGGAGUGCAUUGAUCGCACCACCGUCGUCUUCAAGAACAACCUCCCCGACCGAUCCAUGUAUCCGACAGCCUAUACUUUUGACAGAGUUUUCGGGUCAAAGUGCGGCACAAGGGAUGUGUACGAGGAAGGAGCCAAGGAAGUUGCUCUUUCUGUUGUAAGUGGAAUUAAUGCAACUAUAUUUGCCUAUGGGCAAACUAACAGCGGAAAGACAUACACAAUGACAGGGAUAACCGAGUAUAGUGUAGCAGAUAUCUAUGACCACAUAAAGAGGAAUGAGGAGAGAGAAUUCAUUCUAAAAUUCUCAGCUAUGGAGAUAUACAAUGAAGUGGUUAGGGAUCUCCUCAGUAUGGAUGGUUCCCCUCUUCGGCUACUUGACGAUCCAGAGAGAGGAACUAUAGUGGAGAAACUUACAGAGGAAACUCUGAGGGAUGAGAACCACCUCAAGGAGCUUCUUUCCACAUGUGAAGCACAAAGACAGACAGGGGAAACCUCCCUAAAUGAAAUGAGCUCACGAUCACAUCAGAUACUCAGAUUGACAAUUGAAAGUUCUGCUCGAGAGCUUCUGAAUAGGAACAGCUCAAGCACUCUUGCAGCCACCGUGAAUUUUGUUGAUCUUGCAGGGAGUGAACGAGCAUCUCAAACUGGUGCUAGACUGAAGGAAGGCUGCCACAUUAAUCGAAGCUUGCUUACCCUUGGAACUGUCAUACGCAAGCUAAGCAAGGGAAGAAAUGGGCACAUUCCAUAUCGAGAUUCAAAAUUGACACGCAUACUGCAGUCUUCCUUGGGAGGUAAUUCAAGAACAGCUAUUAUCUGUACAAUGAGCCCUGCACGAAGCCACAUCGAGCAGUCCAGGAAUACCCUUCUUUUUGCAAGCUGUGCAAAACAAGUAGUUACAAAUGCACAGGUCAAUGUAGUGAUGUCUGAUAAGGCAUUGGUUAAGCAUCUACAAAGAGAAGUUUUCAGAUUGGAGAGUGAACUGAAAUAUCCAGGAUCGGCCUCCUGUUCUUCUCAUUUUGAAGCCCUAAGGGAUAAAGAUGCUCAGAUUGAAAAGAUGGAGCGAGAAAUCAAGGAGCUGAUACAGCAAAGAGAUCUUGCUCAAUCUCAACUCAAAGAUUUGCUUGCCACUGUAGAUGAUGAUCAAGCGUCAAGUCAAUGGCAUGAACUGAGUCACGCCUCUGUAUCACAUGUGCACAAUAUGCCUGAGGAUGUAUGUUCCAUUUCUGGAACAUCAGGUAUUGCAUAUCAAAGUUCAGAGUUUGGCUCUAUAAGUUUUGAUGCACCACAUCAAAGCAACAAUGAAUAUCAUGUAGAGCUUUCUGAUAAACUGGACAUAGUUCCAGAUAUCUCUCCUAGGCACUCAGUCAGCAGUUCUAUGUCUACUGGAAUGAUUUUACAGCAGACAAGGGACAAAAGUUUUGAAGCCUCAUCAAACGAUUUUGAAGACCAUUACAGGGAAGUUAGGUGUCUUGAGAUACAUGCUUUAGGCACAAAUAGAAUUGAGGAGUUCAAUCCACCAUUGACUGAAGAAAGUGAUGAUCUACCAUCUCAGACUGAUUUAGACAAUCUUGAAGAUACUGGACCACAAUCUGUAAGCUAUGCAUUUCUAAGACCUGAAACGGAGCAAUCAGUGAAGAGCAUAUCAGAGACAAUUGAUGAUUUCAUAAAAACAUGUCUUGAUGAUAUGUCUCCAUGGCCCACAAUGCCAAAAAUAAUGACUUUCAGGGAGUUGCCACUAACUAGAAGCAGAAGUUGCAGGGCAAGCCUUAUGACUACUUCAUCCUCUUUUUGGACUGAAGAGGCAGAGCAGCAUGACGGGAGACCACCUACGAACUUCUUGAAUGAGUUUCCUGUCAGCCUUGGCUGGAUUCCAAGAAAAAUUUCUGUGCCAUUGAAUGAUAUAAAAAAUGAGGCACACUCAUUUGAAGGAUCCCAGAACACGGAAGAGCCUAUUCCUAGUCAUGUCAUUGAAGACCAGAAUAUUAGGAUUGUUCCUGAAGAGGAUAUUACCAAUGUCAGUAACUUUUUUUCAGGAGUGGUUCAGAUGGCUCAGAGCCAGCAUCAAAAGGAACUUACUGAUGAUCAGGAGACUCAAUGGGCCCAAGUUGAAGAAUUCGAAGUUGAGAAAACUGUAAAGGAUGUUGGAGUAGACUCAGUAUUGUAUUCUAUUGAAUCUCCUUCGAGAUGGCCAAUAGAGUUUCAGAGAAAGCAGCAGGAGAUAAUUGAACUUUGGCAUGCAUGCAAUGUUUCCUUAGUCCACAGGACUUACUUUUUCCUACUUUUCAAAGGUGAUCCAUCCGACUCCUUCUACUUGGAAGUGGAGAAUAGAAGGCUGUCCUUUCUAAGAAACACUUCUCUUCCUGAGCAUUCUAACAUGAUAGUGGCUGAUGAUGGUCGUACCAUUAUGUCCUCCUCAAGCUUGAGAUAUCUUCGUCGCGAAAGGCAAAUGCUGUACAGGCAAAUGCAGAAAAAGUUAUCCCUAGAAGAAAGGAUCACAAUCUAUUCCAAGUGGAGAAUUGCUCUCAACACGAAACAGAGGAGCCUGCAGCUGGCCCAGCUUGUCUGGACAAAAACUGACAUGCCACAUGUCAGGGAGAGUGCAUCGCUUGUAGCCAAGUUGAUUGGAUUUCAGGAGCAAGGGGAGGCCCUCAAGGAGAUGUUUGGACUCAGUUUCAUACCACAGCAAACUAACCAUAGAUCCUUCAGCUUCACAUACAGGAAGUCUUUGCUCAUGUGAGGAAUACGUUCGUAUGGUUCACAAGGCACUUCAUAAAUAGAAUUACAACUGAAGCACUUGGCUGAUUGAACCCUGUGGAUUCUGCACACACAAGCUUCCACGACUCUGCAGUUACUGCCACCAGUAAAUAGUAUUUGGAGUAGCAGUGCUACUCAGAUUGUUUGAUCUCAUCCAUAAAGUCAACUAAGCUACAGCAAGCAUAGAGAGGACUUUCAAAUGAUGUGAGAAGUCAAUGGUGGAAGGAGUCAUUGGUCUAAAAGUCAAGGCAAAAGAACAGAAAACGUGUGGAACUUUGCAGAGUGCAACCUCUCAGGGCCUGUGAUCUCAUAAUAAAUCUUUUGCCUGCCUGAAAGAGAGAGGAGGAGGAAGAAGAAGAAGAAGAAGAAAUGUAAAGGCAACCAAUUGCAUCCACUGGAUCCAAAGGAAACAAGUGGAAGCUUGCUUUACCUUCUUCUCUUUGGCUGGGGAUUUGACUGAGCCUUGGUUUUGUAAUGGUUCAUUUAGAAUUGGUUCUCUUCUCAGUGGAAGCUUUCCAGUCAACACCUAGAAGAUUAUUCUAUGCAGGCACCAGUCUUUUUUGUGCAGCAAUUCAGAUGCUGGCCAUCACCACACCACACCACCACACAAAUCUUGUUCUGCCAAAGCAAAUUCUGGAUUCCUGAACAGUCUAUGUGACCUGUUCUUCCAAUGCUUGCUUUUAGCACCACAAACACCAACUUCAAGAAGGUGAGCUUGCUCAAAUGGACCUGCAAAUUUGGAGCUGGUCUUAAAAAAAUCUCUACCAGAGAAGGUGAUCAGCAUUAGCAUUCAAGUGGAUGAUUGUAUCAUCUCUAAGAUUCUUGGAAAGCUAUGUUCCACACAGAGAUUUGCUCCAAGGAUGAUAACUUGAUGAUCAGGGAAUACAAGCCAAGAAGGAAAAAGUAAAAGAUGAUGACACAAGGGAAGAUAAAGUUGGCAAGCUUAAAGUGAAAGGCCACCUAUUCAAAGUUGCAUCACCUUCAAGACUACUACAUGCAUCUCCAUCAAUUGCCAUCAGCUCCUCCAAUAAAGAAAAAAGCAAGCAAAGAAAAAGAAAAGACCACUUAGUAAUGCUAUUUUCCUUUCAUUUUUUUUCCUUUUUCUCAUGAUGGCUUAGCAUGAUUCUCGCAGCCAUCCUGCAAUAAUGUCAAUGGUGCUAAUCCAGCAUGGUGUGUAAACAGAUAAUGUAAAAGAAGACAUACUAUAUAUUAUAUAUAUUUCUUUUCUUAUUAGGUAUCAUUUUAUAUUGAUUUACUGCGGCGUCAGUGUGCCGUAAUAACCGCGAGUUUGCGCACUCGGCGACACGCAGUGUUUCGGGAGCGAUUUCGGCACCCCGAACCGAGAAUUCCUCCAUCCCCCGCUCCCACUCGUUUCGUCGAACACUCUUCUCAACCAUCCCGCUUCCGACACGUCCAUAUAUGACGUCACCUUACUGAGAGUUGAUAGUGUUGUACGGGUCGUUUGCUGCGGGGGGUGUUAUGGCAGAUCGGUUUGAAAUGGGACCGGAAGAAACA